UCGGAACGUGUCCUGUUGUGGGGGAGUAACUGAUCGAAAGAUCAGCUAAUACCGCAUGAGACCUGAGGGUGAAAGCGGGGGAUCGCAAGACCUCGCGCGACAGGAGCGGCCGAUGUCUGAUUAGCUAGUUGGUGAGAUAAAAGCUUACCAAGGCGACGAUCAGUAGCUGGUCUGAGAGGAUGAUCAGCCACAUUGGGACUGAGACACGGCCCAGACUCCUACGGGAGGCAGCAUG
Molecule: ribosomal RNA, 235 nt
Filed under: uncultured bacterium
Lineage: Bacteria
Description: partial 16S ribosomal RNA
Rfam family: Bacterial small subunit ribosomal RNA
Source: RNAcentral